UUCUUUUACUACUGAGGGCUGCUCACCUCCUCCCUAUACUGUGUUGCUCAGUGUGGCAGUCUGGGAGCUGACCUUGUCUGUGAAGACUGAGGCCAAAAAAGCAUUGAGUACUUCAGCUUUUUCCACAUCAUCUGUCACUAUGUUGCCUCCCCCAUUCAGUAAGGGUCCCACACUUUCCCUGACCACCUUCUUGUUGCUCAAAGGAUCCAGUUGUCCUCCUAUGAUCUGCUCAAAGCUUAAUCAGCAUGGGCUUGGAGACCCUGUCCUGGUGUGCAGAGGAUUCACAAAUCCUCCUUUGUGGUCACUGCAUGUUUCCCCUGCUCCCAGGGUACCAAAGUUGCUUUUUUGGAAUCCUGGAAAGUGGGGUUUUUUUUAACCGCAACUGCUAAUGGAAGUACAUGAUUUUAAAUAAUUUACAUUUCCAUCUGGUUUGAAAAACACCAGGUGGAGAUUGCAGAUCAGGAUGAGUCCAAAUGGAAGGAAAUCUUAGCUUAAAAUAUUAAAGCUAAAAACAUUUAUGUGAACCACAUUUUUUUUACGGUCCACAGUGGCGACUUCUUAUGUCUUUUCUCCCAUCAUUUUGGUUGUGCAAGGUGUAUGCUUCCCUUCCUUGGCUGUGUUACACGAGUUAUUCAGAAUUAGGAAGGGGGAACUGGGGAGCAGUGGAAAACAAAGAGAUUGUGUGUGGAAUGUUGGAGGAAUUAGGGGUUAGAGGGUUUCUUCAGCAUAUUACUUUGAGAAUUAAAAUGAUCUCCCCUCUGCUUUUCGAGGGAACCAUAUUAAGCCCUUAAAUGCAUGCAUGGGACUCCCUUUAUGAUCAGAGGGAGUCACCUGUGCUCAUCUUAGGGCACCCAUCUGGGUCUGCUGCCUGCCUCCAAUAGGACCCCUGGAUCCAGAUUAGAACUGUGCAUGGGAGAGAUCCCCUCCAUUCUGGUGGCACUGCCACACAGGUGGCGCCUUCCCUCUCCUUGUCAUGUGGCCUUGGGGUAAAACGGCAGAGGAACCAGCCAGAGACUCCAGCUGGUAGGAGCAGAAAGCAGGAACUUUUGAAUAUUCACAGAACUUUCUACAUCUUUGACUGGCCUUUCUCUGCCCUGUGCUGAUUGUCUGUUUGUUCCAACUCUUUCUCUCACCCUCAGUCAUAGUCUCUUCACUUCAGUUUCACUCCACAUCUGCCCCUUUUACUCUCUUCUCUGUUGCCCUCUCCUCCUCACCCCUCCUCUUUCCAUUUAGCUUCACCCCCUUAACUAAUCCCAUCCCCCCCAAAAGGCGUUACUAACGUGUUUGUUUCCAUCAAAUAGUUCACUCUGCUUUUGUGUUGUAGCCUUCCCCCCCCCCCCAUGGUGUGGCUGUCUGUUUAGAUGUAGGGGCAGGGAUCAUCUACCACUCUGUGUUUGUACAGUGCCUAGCACAAUGGGGCUCCAUUUUUUGUUGAUCCUUAGGCACUGCCAUAAUAAACAUGGUUAAUAAUAGGAAUGUAGCUCCUUGAGGUUUUUGGGUUUUUUUUAGUUGAGUUGGGUCAGGACUGAAGGAUUGGACCCUCGCUGGUCAACAUGCUAAACCACUCACCAGCUAUCCUUCCUUCCCACUUCCCUCAAUUCUGAGCCAACUGGCAAACUUUUAUUCUAAAAUGAGUAGAAACAUCAUCAAAGGCUCUGUUUUGUAAAACUUUUUCUGAUAGAUGUUCCUUGUAUCUUAGUGGUCAACACCAUGAUGGACUCCCCCAUUUUCAGCAUACAUUUUGCAAGAGGAGCUAAAUCCUUCAAAUCAAGAAGAAUUUUAUGGUGAGGCUCCACUCUAUUAACUGUUUUCCCAGAGAGAUGUUCAUAUCCCUUCCUGCAGAAUUUUUCCAGAUGAUGAAACUACUGAAGCUGCUCAGUUGAAAAGAAACACAUUUCUUAUACUGCUCACAAAUACAUGGGCUAUAAUAACUGUUCAGUCUGAUUUUCUUACUUUUUUUUUUAAAUAGAGAUUAUGAAGUCUCAUUGUAAGCCAGUAAUCUUACUGGACCAAAUUCAUCCCUGUUGUAAUGCCAUUGAUUCUAAUGUGUUACGUCAGGGUUGAAUUUGCCUCAUUGUAUCAAAAUUCGAAGUUCUACAAAAUGGAAAAGAUGUUAUAUGUUUAGAUUAAAAAUAUUUGAGACAGAGUUAAAGUUGUCUUUUAAUCUUCCAGUAUUAACCCAGUGUGGCCAUUCUUAUGUACUGUGUUCCCCAUUAAUGCUACCAGUCAUCCCCCAGAUAGCUUUUGUGUUUGAUUGACAGAUACCAACUGGCCCAGAGAAAACUGUACAUACUGGUCUGUAAUCUAAAUUUCCCAUGCUAGCUAUGCUAUGGGGACCCAUUCCUCCAGAACAUUGACCAGAGACUGUCUGAAAUUGCCAUUCACGUGUGGUCCACAACCUUCUCCACUAUUCCAUUGGCUUCUGAAAACUUCAUCCUGCCCAAACCAUCCCGCCCAAAUUGGUCAAUCUGCAUACGAGAGAGAGAGUAACUUUUUCCAUGUACCCCUGAAUGGAUAGGCCUCAGACUCUAGUGCUGUACAUUACCUUUCAAAAUGAGCCAAUGAUCCCCAUAUAUGCUGGAUUUUUCAAAAUGGACUAAAGCAGCAAGGUGCACAACAUCUAUUGAAAGUCAAUCAAUAUCCCUUAGAAGGGGUAGAUGCAGAUUGUAUGGUCAUACAAGAGCCUGAAGUAUCAUAAUCUGCAUAUGCAGUAGGAAGGCUUAAGUAUCUAUAAUGUAGCAACUAAUGGGAUUGUCUUUCCAGUAGAUACAGUUUGUCUGAAAGAUACAGUAACUAUAUAAUUGAUCUAUUCUAGGAAAGGGUUGCUUUUUUUUAAUAGGAGAAUGUGACAGAUUCAAAUUGGUUGGAGACUCACCAUGGACUUGCAAAUGGGAAGGACAUAAUCAUCAAAUUAAUUAAACUUUGUUAGAGCUUUCAGUGACAAUGGACAGGCACAAAAUAGCAGAUUUAGUUUACUUGGAUUUAAAAAAGGUUUCCAUACUGUACUGCAUAAGACUAAUGUCUAAGACUAAAAAGUAUAGUAGUAUUAAUGAAAGUUUAGAUAAAGACUGGCUUGGUAAAUAGAGGGUAUGUGCAGGGGGUAGCUACAUACUUACUUAUCAGGUAGGUGAAAACUUGAAUGUUCUAACAAUCUGUGUUGGAUCAUAGUCACACUGUACAUCGAUGGCUUCGAAGAAAGAAUAGUGGUGAAAUGUGCAAAAUUGCCAAUGACACAAAGGUGGAAGGAAUUGCUAAUACCAAAAAGAAUGUGCUUGCAUCUAACCUGGGGCAUGGGCUGAAAGUGGUUCAUGCAAUUUAAUAUAGUUAAAUAAUGAGCAUAUGACUCCCCACUGUAUUUUCCACUGAAUGCAUCCAAUGAAGUGAGCUGUAGCCCACGAAAGCUUAUGCUCAAAUAAAUUUGUUAGUCUCUAAGGUGCCACAAGUACUUCUUUUCUUUUUGCAAAUACAGACUAACAUGGCUGCUACUCUGAAACCGAGCAUACAACUGAAAAUGUCAAAAGGGUUUGUCUUCAAUUGUUACUAGUUGCAAGGCACAGAUCAGAAGAUUUAAAGGACUUCAGUGAGACUCAAGGAUGCUCAACAGCUCACGGACUGGGCCUCAAGAAUUUUUUUUAGCAAUAUCAGAAAAAAAAUGCACUCUACACAAUAUCAUUAAAGGCAUUUAGAUUUCUCUACAGCUUUUCACACUGCUAAUUUUAAUCCAGUAAAUUAUCUGGAAGAAAACAGUAUGCAGCCUAAAAACUGUUCAAAAUUCACUCCAACAUUGAGCACAUUAUGGACGUAAUGAUCCAUUACAACCAAACUUCUAGAAGGUCUUGCAAGAAAACUGAGAAUUAAACAAAGAAAUAUGGAGACUAUCAUCAUUAUUUAUCAGAUAUAUUUAUUAGGUUUUUUUUAACAUACAGUGGAAAACUUUUAAAUAGUUACAUAUAUGGUAAAUAUAUUUCCAAGUGGUUAGUUCUUUGUCAGACAAGUGUUUAAGAAAACUUAUCUGUAUUGAUGUCAUAGCUUGAUGUUCUGAGGAUUUAUCCUUUAACCGGUUUAAUGAAAGAAUCUUAAUUUUGUGAUUGAGUGCACUAGAAAUAUAUUCUUUGUGGCUAUCACUUAAGGGAAUAACAAUAAGCCUGCAGCUAGGUAUUUCUAAGGUGGUUAUCACCUUGGGAUCUAAGAUAAACAACCAAAUACUUUGCACUUACUUUAAAGUUUUUCAUACAUGAGUUCAAAGCUGUUUAUUCAUAUUAAUUAAAUCCUCAUACACAUAUCUCUGUAGAUACAUACUCUGAAUCAGGCAGAAAAGGGACUAGAAUGUGGGUCUCCCCCAUCCCACUCAAAUGCCUUAACCACUAGGCUACUGCGGUCAUUUUUUUGUGUGAAAAGUUUCAAAUUGGUUUCGCUUUCAUGUUGCAUUAGAAUGAAAACAAAUGUCAAAACCUCCAAAUUUCCCCCAGAAGAGAAUUGGUGUAUUUCCAGUCAGCCCUAAUAAAUACAGCUAGGUCACUGGGCACCUGUUCAUUUUAAAUGUUGCUCGCAGAGGCCCCAAUUCAGCCGGUACUUCUGCAUGUGUGACACUUCCUAAGGUGCACAAAUCUUUUACAAACUUUUAUUAAACAAUUUGACUGAUAACUUGAAAAAUGUUGCUAACCUUAUGUACUCAUGUACCAUGCCUUAAAAUAGAUUUUUGGAAAAGAUUUGAAAUAUCAACUCUCAAUCACUCCAUUACAUCAGAAAUCUAAAACAAAACAUAUGUUUCUAAAACUAAAGACCAAGAACCAAAUUUUUCCCUUGUGUGUCACCCUGUGCAGCCCCCCUGAUUUCACUGGGCAGCACAGGCUGUUAAGUCAGGGCAGAAUGUGGCCAGGAGAGCUGUAUUUUUUUUUCUUGCCUAGAAAACGAGGGAUAGGAUAUGUAAUCUGAACAUUGCAAGUUAAGACUUAAGGAGUUUCAGAAGCAUUUUUCCCUGUGCAGGGAAGAUUUUAUAAUCAUAUAGGAAGAAACAGGGAAGGUGGACUUUAUCCUGCAAUGAUGUAGAAUAUUAACAUAGAAAUGCAGUUCCUAAAUCUCUGGGCCUUCCAUAUGGACAGGUGGAUGCUUUUCUCUGCUCAUCAGCGUCCUCUUGCCAUGGCUCACUCAAGAACCAUGCUUCUAUGUGCUUCCUUUCCCUGUGUGCCACACUUCUUCCUUUUUCUAGUGGGAUAGGUUGUAGAGGGACACCAUCACAUCUUGUGAAAAUAUCCACUUGGAAAUCCACUUGGUUUUGAGGGACACUAUUCAAAGAGCUCCUGUCUUCACCAAUCACCAGGUCUCACAAGUCUAUGAAACCUCAACUGCAUGUCCUUGAAGAGGAAUCUGCAGGCUCAGGGGAAGCAUUCUGUAUUCACUCUGCUCCCCGUUCUGUAGAUCUAGGACCCUUAUGGCUUUUUUCUGGUUUAUUUGCACCUCUCCCUACUUACAUUUGAGGAGAGCAUAGGACACUAACUAAAACCCUCAGAAAUACUAUAACACAGCAUGAGACUAUGAUGACCCAGUUUCUUGUUUGAGGGAGAAGUCCUCCAAAAACCUUCUGCAGUGUUGUAUAGCUUAAGACACCUUUUGUAUGUGUAAAAAUGUUGGCAAGUGGCUUGUUACCUGUGAAUGCUGUAUAUAAUUAAACUCUUCGUAAA
Dermochelys coriacea (leatherback sea turtle) is the source of this 5681-nucleotide long non-coding RNA. RefSeq lists it as uncharacterized. Lineage: Eukaryota; Metazoa; Chordata; Testudines; Dermochelyidae. The transcript is spliced from 3 exons. The record is from RefSeq and is a predicted model, not a curated record.